CUGACGAGCACGCCGCGUGAGUGAGAAGGUUUUCGGAUCGUAAAGCUCUGUUGUAAGAGAAGAACGGGUGUGAGAGUGGAAAGUUCACACUGUGACGGUAUCUUACCAGAAAGGGACGGCUAACUACGUGCCAGCAGCCGCGGUAAUACGUAGGUCCCGAGCGUUGUCCGGAUUUAUUGGGCGUAAAGCGAGCGCAGGCGGUUAGAUAAGUCUGAAGUUAAAGGCUGUGGCUUAACCAUAGUAUGCUUUGGAAACUGUUUAACUUGAGUGCAGAAGGGGAGAGUGGAAUUCCAUGUGUAGCGGUGAAAUGCGUAGAUAUAUGGAGGAACACCGGUGGCGAAAGCGGCUCUCUGGUCUGUAACUGACGCUGAGGCUCGAAAGCGUGGGGAGCAAACA
This 396-nucleotide ribosomal RNA is filed under the name Streptococcus sanguinis. RNAcentral describes it as "bacterial SSU rRNA". It matches the Rfam family "Bacterial small subunit ribosomal RNA", at positions 383 to 774 of the family's 1533-position model. Lineage: Bacteria; Bacillati; Bacillota; Bacilli; Lactobacillales; Streptococcaceae. The record is from RNAcentral.